This is a long non-coding RNA of Tachysurus fulvidraco (yellow catfish), 1412 nucleotides long. RefSeq lists it as uncharacterized. The transcript has 3 exons. NCBI's taxonomy places the organism in Eukaryota, Metazoa, Chordata, Actinopteri, Siluriformes, Bagridae. The record is from RefSeq and is a predicted model, not a curated record.
UCGGGGUCGAAAAAUAAAUAAAUAAAUACAUACAUAAAUAAAGCAUUUACAGAUGCAGGACUUAUGUCCAGCCGAAUACAGUACGUCGCUACGGUACCUACUGAACAUAAAACAAAGGUCAUGGUGCAGGAGUGAAGAGAAUGUAUUUAAAACCUGGAGCUGAUUACAGUACGUGUGAUGAAUAUAGAAACCAGGUGACAGAACCAACCUCCUACCGUCUUUAACCCUGUAUUAGACAGAGAGCUGGAUCGGCGGAGAGAAAGAGAGGGAAUCGGAGACGAUGGGGACGUGCUGCCAGUGUUGGUUUGGCUCUGUACAGGAAAUCCAGACUGACAGAUGGACUCGGGAGUAUUGACCAGAGUGGAUCUCGGCUAUACAGUGACGAAAUCAAAGCACACGCCAAACAAAUGAGGAGGACAAAGAGAUGAUACACGUCAUUAACAACCUCAAAUUUUGCCCAGUUGCCCCUAAACUGUUGGCACAUUUAAUCAAGCGAGUCAGCCUCUAUAAACAACAACAACAGUCAUUUACAGCUUUUCCAAUAACACACGAGACGACGGAUCAGGAAACGAGCGCCCGGUGCCUGCGGGCUGUCAGGACCAGAACAGAAGGAGAAGGAUGGAAAAAGCAGUUUGCGGUUUUCACAUUCGAUUGAUUGCACACGCCAUUGAUUUGUUGCUAAGCCGUGUGCGUUUGUUUAAGACGGAUCUACGUGGUGCGAGGCAGACUAUCGUGUAGCAAAGAGCAAACAAGACGUGAUAAUGGAGGGUCGAGCCACUCGAUGGGAUGCAGGGUGUGUACUGUACGUACCGCCGAAGCUUUCUGAUCGCUGGACAUCAGCAAUCAGAACAACUAAAUAUAGACACUCGGGUUUUUCCUCUGAGAAGUUUCUAGCUAACACUCGUCACACCAAAACUCUUUAAACUGCCCACUUUCCCUUCGAGUCAUGUCUACUCCGAUUGGGCGACGUAUGCUUUUAGUUUCUCAUCCCAAACAUUACGGAUGCUACAGAAUGGAAUUUAACCCAAGUCUAGUUUUUCGCUUCUUCACACCAUUCUGUGUGGGGGUUUUUUUUCUUUCCACCGUUUGGUGGUAAGUUUGGAGAAAGAAAAAAAUAAUUGUGAAUAAUCUGAUGUCGAUCGCUGAAAUAAUGAAGCUAUGAAUAAAUAAAUAAAUUAUAUUUUUGCAGUAGAAUGGUCUGAUGGUUGAAGACACUGGUGGCUCAAACAGUUAAGGCUCUGGGUCGUUGAUUGGAGGAUCAAGGUUCAAGCCCCAGCAUUACCGAUAGCACUGUUGGGCCCCUGAGCAAGGCCCUUGAUGCUCUCUGCUCCAGUAGUGCUGUAUAAUGACUGACACUGACUUCCAAAUUCAGGAUAUGUAAAGAAAAAAUUUCACUGAUGUGUCAAAAUAAA